RNAcentral lists this ribosomal RNA (301 nucleotides) under uncultured bacterium. RNAcentral's name for it is "partial 16S ribosomal RNA". It matches the Rfam family "Bacterial small subunit ribosomal RNA", at positions 509 to 809 of the family's 1533-position model. The record is from RNAcentral.
CAGCAGCCACGGGAAUACGGAGGGGGCUAGCGUUAUUCGGAAUUACUGGGCGUAAAGCGCACGUAGGCGGAUCAGAAAGUCAGAGGUGAAAUCCCAGGGCUCAACCUUAGAACUGCCUUUGAAACUCCUGAUCUUGAGGUCGAGAGAGGUGAGUGGAAUUCCGAGUGUAGAGGUGAAAUUCGUAGAUAUUCGGAGGAACACCAGUGGCGAAGGCGGCUCACUGGCUCGAUACUGACGCUGAGGUGCGAAAGCGUGGGGAGCAAACAGGAUUAGAUACCCCGGUAGUCCCUGUCUCUUAUAA